RNAcentral lists this ribosomal RNA (515 nucleotides) under uncultured bacterium. Its description in RNAcentral is "partial 16S ribosomal RNA". It matches the Rfam family "Bacterial small subunit ribosomal RNA", at positions 28 to 523 of the family's 1533-position model. The record is from RNAcentral.
GAUGAACGCUGGCGGCGUGCCUAAUGCAUGCAAGUCGAGCGAAUGGAUUAAGAGCUUGCUCUUAUGAAGUUAGCGGCGGACGGGUGAGUAACACGUGGGUAACCUGCCCAUAAGACUGGGAUAACUCCGGGACACCGGGGCCCAUCCCGGCUCACCUUUUGAACCGCCUGGUUCGACAUUGACAGGCGGCUUCGGCUGUCACUUAUGGAUGGACCCGCGUCGCAUUAGCUAGUUGGUGAGGUAACGGCUCACCAAGGCAACGAUGCGUAGCCGACCUGAGAGGGUGAUCGGCCACACUGGGACUGAGACACGGCCCAGACUCCUACGGGAGGCAGCAGUAGGGAAUCUUCCGCAAUGGACGAAAGUCUGACGGAGCAACGCCGCGUGAGUGAUGAAGGCUGUCGGGUCGUAAAACUCUGUUGUUAGGGAAGAACAAGUGCUAGUUGAAUAAGCUGGCACCUUGACGGUACCUAACCAGAAAGCCACGGCUAACUACGUGCCAGCCGCCGCAGUAA